AUAGUGAUGUCAAGGAUGAAGGAAGUGGUGUAGCGAUUCUUUCGAGCGUACGAACAGAAACCGGAUAUAAGGCUAAAUGGUGGAUAAGGUUGCCAGACAAACCGAAGUCCAAAAGGUAAACGUAAAACCAAGACAGUAAAUCAGGAGGUUGUGAAGAGAAAGAUAU
Molecule: non-coding RNA, 166 nt
Filed under: uncultured Merdibacter sp.
Lineage: Bacteria; Bacillati; Bacillota; Erysipelotrichia; Erysipelotrichales; Erysipelotrichaceae
Source: RNAcentral